This 262-nucleotide long non-coding RNA is filed under the name Elaeis guineensis (African oil palm). RNAcentral's name for it is "long non-coding RNA (EGUI_LNC060172)". Lineage: Eukaryota; Viridiplantae; Streptophyta; Magnoliopsida; Arecales; Arecaceae. The record is from RNAcentral.
CCAGGUUGAGUUAAUCUCUAUUGCUGAUAAUUGGAUAUUCAGGUCUUUGUCACAAGAUAUUUGCUGAUUUUGAGGUCUCUAUCACAAGGAUUAUAUAUAUUCAGUUCUAAGAAGUGAAUCUUUAACCAUCACGGAAGAACGAUGUCUAGAUUGAUCAUUUAUAGGUAAGCAUCAAACUACAAAAUGAUGUUCUUCACAAGUAUAAUAUAAUUUAUUGAGAUUUUUUUAAGAAUUUGAAACUUUUGUUGAAGUCACCUAACCA